UACAGAGGGUGCGAGCGUUGUCCGGAAUUACUGGGCGUAAAGGGCUCGUAGGCGGCCAACUAAGUCAGACGUGAAAUCCCUCGGCUUAACCGGGGAACUGCGUCUGAUACUGGAUGGCUUGAAUCCGGGAGAGGGAUGCGGAAUUCCAGGUGUAGCGGUGAAAUGCGUAGAGAUCAUGAGGAAGACCAGUGGCGAAGGCGGGUCUCUGGACAGUUCCUGACACUGAGACACGAAGGCCAGGGGAGCAAACGGG
Molecule: ribosomal RNA, 253 nt
Filed under: uncultured bacterium
Lineage: Bacteria
Description: partial 16S ribosomal RNA
Rfam family: Bacterial small subunit ribosomal RNA
Source: RNAcentral